GCAUACUUCUCCAUGGUCGUAUAAGGACUUCCGGCCCACAGGAUACAGAGCAGCAAGUUCAUCUGGAUCCUUUCAGCGCUGCUCACCUCGUCAGCUCAAGUGUUGCCAUAGGAAAUAGUAUCCUGGCAACAGCACUAACCUGAGCAAAGACAAAGUAAGGUCAUGCAGACAACCAGACGUGGUACAACGACGCUGUAUGGCAAUUCAUUUUCAUAACCUUUGCUUGCAAGAAAUUUCAACACAUUUUGGUCAGCCUCACUUUCUAUCAGGUCAGCCUCUUUUCACAGCUGCUUUGGUGCAGUCAUUUAAAAAUCUACAUGUUUGGAUGUCAUGCAUAAUACUGUAAUGUGUCUUGCUCUACCUGUGCUCUAUCAAUAAUUGCAUGAAAUAGCACUUUCAUCUGAAUUUGCAUUCAUACCUCAGGGGAACAGUGUGUAGAUAUUCCUCUGGGGGGUAAAAUGAACCUUUUUGUGCAGGAUUUCAGCACAUACUGCAAAGAUAUCAGCAUGCUGUUUGCAGAUAGUCACUGUAAUAUUAUACACUCCUUUCUGAGGAAUCUCAACCUUAUGCAGCAGGGUUACAGAACAAAUGAUAAACAUGCAGGAAAAUCAAUUGCUCCUGAUUUACACCACAGGAGAGUGUGAGUUGUGUAUAUUUUGCAGCCUUGAACACUGGACGGUGCUGCAUAAGUAUUCAGACUUCCAUGUUUGGUUUAACCCUCAGUUCAGUCUAUCUAAUUCCACAGAUCUGUCUGGGACUCCUUGCUGCUAAUCGUCCACAUCAUGAGCCGCCUGGAUGUUGGCAGUGUUGCCAUGGUGACUAUCAAGGGUUGAUAAAGUGGUUCGGGUCCUUUGUGUUCUGUACAUACAAGGUCUUUUGGCCACAAGAGAAUUACAGCAGAGGCAGAAAUUAUUUACAGGGAGCCUGGCAUUAAUUAAAAGGGGAAAUGACUCAUUUAGCAAACUGAUUACAGCGAGAAGAGUACGUCCAAAAACAAUUAGUUCUUUGGAAACAGUGGAGGUGUAGACUUGGUUUCCCCCUCGUGUCAGCACAAGCUGCUCCCUCAAAGUACUCUCUGUCCAUCAGAAACUAUUCCUCUAAUAAAGUUGAGCAGAUUUUACCAACAUGUUGGUAAAGUUUCAUUUCGCCACAGUGGACAUGAGGACAUGAUCUUCAGACACACUCUGCUCUGGUUGUGUUUAACCCUAGAACACUAUCGCCGGGUGAUUUUCACCCAACCAAACAUGAUUUUCAUUAUGUUGUGUUUGUCUGAGUAUCAUGGGUAGCUUCAGCAUCGCCUUUGACAUCUUUGAAGGCAUAUUUGUUUCCCUGAUCCAAAACCUGCUUUUUCCUACAGACACGUGUUCAGGUGGAAUAAGGUCAGUAAGAGUGGUCCUGGAAUUUGCAUGCUAUCUUUAUUUAGCGCAAUGGUUAUGAAUAACUAUCACAAAGUAGUGAUUUUCAAGGGAAUUCAUGUGGUGAUAAGAAAUAUUUGACAGCUGGUCAUUUUUACUCACUCAAAAUCUGCCAUAUUUUGGUUCUCUCUCCUGCAGCUGUUAUUGUGCCAAGG
This 1570-nucleotide long non-coding RNA is filed under the name Xyrichtys novacula (pearly razorfish). Lineage: Eukaryota; Metazoa; Chordata; Actinopteri; Labriformes; Labridae. The record is from RNAcentral.